Molecule: ribosomal RNA, 253 nt
Filed under: uncultured bacterium
Lineage: Bacteria
Description: partial 16S ribosomal RNA
Rfam family: Bacterial small subunit ribosomal RNA
Source: RNAcentral
UACGUAGGGGGCAAGCGUUAUCCGGAAUUACUGGGUGUAAAGGGAGAGUAGGCGGCAAGGUAAGCGAUAUGUGAAAGCCUUAGGCUUAACCUGAGGAUUGCAUAACGAACUAUCUAGCUAGAGUACAGGAGAGGGAAGCGGAAUUCCUAGUGUAGCGGUGAAAUGCGUAGAUAUUAGGAAGAACACCAGUGGCGAAGGCGGCUUUCUGGACUGAAACUGACGCUGAGGCUCGAAAGCGUGGGGAGCGAACAGG